AGGGUUGCAAGAUAGUUAUUGUAAAGCCCAACCAACCCUGUUUUUGAAACUCCAUUUUGUGCCAGACAGAGGCUAAACUCCAGUUCCUGGAAGAAAAUCCGAGUCCUCCUGGGCACGCAUCCUAUGGCAACUGACCCCACUUAGCAACAGCUAGUCAGGCUACAAUGGCAGAGUCAAGAUUUUCACUUGGCUGACAGACUCCAUCCAGGGAUCACCUGUGGUCUGCAAACUGCUGAGCUCUGGACUUGCUGAAAGCUAGUGUAGACCUGACCAGACUGUAUGAUUGCUCCUUGUCUCUUCAGUUGGCUCGGCUAAUCAAAUGUUUCUGAUAAAUGCCCCAUUGUCCAGCCUUUGACUAGCCUUUCACCCUGCCUGGGCCCUGACAAUGAUGCCCUAGCUUCAACUGGAAGUAGUUACAGAAAAGAAUAAGUUGUUCCUUGUCCACUCCCCCCACCCCCAAACAGGGGCUUAAAUGCUAAGUCAAAAGGAAACUCCCAAUUGGCACACCAAGAGUGAUACUUGUUAAAACCAAAUAGACUCAGUUCUCGCAACAGAUAGAUUCCUUAGCUGAAGUAGUUCUAAAAUAUGAUAGGGCACUUGACCUGCUCCAUAUAAAACAGAGAGGUUAUUGUGUAAUUUUAAGAGAAAAUUGUUGUUCCUAUAUACAAACCACUCAGAAGUCAUUACUGAUAAUCCAACUAUACUCAAAGAAACAUUACACAAAAGGGAACCAGAAAUAAAAUAAUAAAAUUCUCCUUUUCACGAUUCUCCUAGAUAAUAACUCUGAUAUCAGACAUUGCAGAGCCGUUGACCCUUCUGUUUCUGCUAAUUACUAUUGGCCCUUGUAUCAUUAAAGCCUUAACUGGAUAUA
Molecule: long non-coding RNA, 871 nt
Organism: Mastomys coucha (southern multimammate mouse)
Lineage: Eukaryota; Metazoa; Chordata; Mammalia; Rodentia; Muridae
Exons: 2
Source: RefSeq, a predicted model, not a curated record